Molecule: ribosomal RNA, 253 nt
Filed under: uncultured bacterium
Lineage: Bacteria
Description: partial 16S ribosomal RNA
Rfam family: Bacterial small subunit ribosomal RNA
Source: RNAcentral
UACGUAGUGACCUAGCGUUGUCCGGAAUCAUUGGGCGUAAAGAGCGUGUAGGCGGCCACUUAAGUCCUGCGUGAAAUCUUGCGGCUCAACCGCAAGCGGUCGUGGGAAACUGGGUGGCUAGAGUGCGGGAGAGGAGAGUGGAAUUCCUGGUGUAGCGGUGGAAUGCGCAGAUAUCAGGAGGAACACCGGUGGCGAAGGCGGGUCUCUGGGCAGUAACUGACGCUGAGGAGCGAAAGCGUGGGGAGCGAACAGG